GUUCCUGCCCUUGAACAUCUGAUAAUGUGAUGGAAAACACAGAGAAGGAAAAAGACAAUUCAAAGUGUAGGCUUAAGGCCAGGUCACAGACGUGUUUGGUCAAGCCAAGCCCUACCUCAGAUGGGUGGGCAACAUUGGUCAGCCACCCUGGAAAUAUCCCAGUGCCUGAAUGUUGAAGUAUGAGUUAGUCAAGCAGAGAAAGAGAACUGGAAAAAAUAGAGAGAACAAAACCCAACAGCAAGUGAGAACAUGGACUGUCUGAGGAGCUUCUUCUCCGGUAGAAGAAAGCAAAACGGUGCAAAGCUGGGAAGACCACGGGGAGGAUCAGAGGACAGACGGAUCCCGAAGGAAGGAGGCUGCCCGAGACCGUCCUUCCCCAAAAUGGACAGGAGCAGAGGAGGGGCUUCCGGAUCUGAGGCCGGCCCUCCUACUCCUGCUGCAGGACACACCCAGGGGGUCUGCUCAAAGUCAAAACACCUACUGCGGUCCUGUCUUCUCGAUCACCUCUCAGGGGAUGGUGGUUGCUCUGCACACUGUGCUCAAGGCUGGAAGGAAGGCAGGCUAAGUGAGCUCGUUCUAGAGGAUGGGAAGAAAGCACUUCACAGAGCACACUGAAGGCCCAGCCACCACUGCACCCAUCCAAGGGGCUUCUGUAUCCUCAAACACUGUCCCCCAAUGGCCACCAGGGCCCAGUCCGGUCCCAGGCCCCAUGGAAGCCAGUGGGAUGGGUGUGAUCUGGGCCCUGUGGCUGGGGGUAGUGACAGAGCCUAUCCACCCCUGCAGACCCCAAAUGCCAGGGGACCCAGCUGCUGACCUUUAGACAUUAUGACAGGGCUGGUGUUGACUUUUGCAUCGGCACCUGCAGCCAGCCCGGAGCCUGGUGCGAUGGGUCAUCCUUCUGACAGUGCCUCAGAGGCACCGAGAGACACAAAACAGAGGGGGACACUGCAGAACGAUGGGGUCACCGCAGAGCAGGGCUGCCACCUGUGUGGGCAGAACCCAGUGACAUGGAAUUUCCCUGCUGGUCUGGACGGGGUUUCGUGGGCUUUUCAAUCUUGCUCUCUUUGAUCUUAAGACAGUGUUAUUACUGAUGUACCCAGUGUCCUGUUACACUCUAGCAGGGGUUGCAUUUCAGCAGUGGAUCACAGAGGUUUCUUAUGUGUGAAUUGGGCCUAUACAUCCUCCUGAGAUGCUCAUUCCUACCUCUGUAAUGUGGCCAUCGAGUCUGAUCAAUGUAUGCAGGGUUAAAAGGCUGAUUUCUUAGGAUGCCAAGAGAAUCCAGCAGUAAGAGGCUGUUUAGAGAAUCAUGAAUCAAUAUAGAAAAAUUAAUCAAUUGAAUCUGUUUUUUUCUCUCAUUAAUCUAUCUUUUGCCAAUAUAAUUCACAGGGCCACCAGAUACCGAAUGUAGGAGGGUAGAGAAAAUAUUUUUCCUACCCUGUGGUAUCAUUAAUAACGUAAGAGAUACUGCAAUUAAGGCUUGGCCCACUCUGAACCAAUGCUCCCAAUCUACAAUCUCAAACCUAUUUUUCUCCUCCUGACCUAUAGAAGAUAAAAACCAAAGACACUUAGGAAGGUAACACUAAAGAUACCCUUAUCCAGUUGGGUAGAAUAGCUGGAAAUGUCCAUUUAAGAGUAAAAUGACCCAUAACUAAAGGUGAAUUAUCACUAGUUUUAAAAUUUUUGCUAGAUGUUGAAAUAAAUGAAUAAAAAGCAUGGGGCUUAAAGUCUAA
Bos indicus x Bos taurus (hybrid cattle) is the source of this 1730-nucleotide long non-coding RNA. The record is from Ensembl. NCBI's taxonomy places the organism in Eukaryota, Metazoa, Chordata, Mammalia, Artiodactyla, Bovidae.